AGAGCGCCAAGAUAAAGACACGUGCAGUGAUACCCUUAGCUGACUCUGUGCCUGUGUGCGUCGUAUCCACAUCUAUUAACAGUACCUUCAUGAAAGAUAACAAUAUUCCGUUGACAUGUAUAGCGAAAGGUAAACAGAUUUGCCACAGUAAUAGCAGCACAAAGUGCUCUGAAAUUCUUGCUUUCGAAUAGCCAACAUAUCUAAAUUAAUGUUAAACAUUGUAAUUUGUGUGGUGCCAGCUUACGUGCGAAUGUUAAACUAGGAGUAAACAAAAGCUCAAGUUGCGAGAAAAGUUGAAGCAAGAUCAGUAAAGGUAUUCUAUAACGUAUAUAUAUUGAAUUUUCGAUGGAUUUAUUAAGUGAACUGUUUAUUUUUAGGAAUUUUAUAAUUGUAUUUACUCCGAAAUAAAUUAUUGAAUUUG
Aedes albopictus (Asian tiger mosquito) is the source of this 421-nucleotide long non-coding RNA. RefSeq lists it as uncharacterized. The transcript has 2 exons. The record is from RefSeq and is a predicted model, not a curated record. Lineage: Eukaryota; Metazoa; Arthropoda; Insecta; Diptera; Culicidae.